This 543-nucleotide ribosomal RNA is filed under the name Penicillium sp. G2-P-2-5. RNAcentral describes it as "eukaryotic LSU rRNA". The stretch from base 163 to 315 matches the Rfam family "5.8S ribosomal RNA". Lineage: Eukaryota; Fungi; Ascomycota; Eurotiomycetes; Eurotiales; Aspergillaceae. The record is from RNAcentral.
UCUGGGUCCAACCUCCCACCCGUGUUUAUUUUACCUUGUUGCUUCGGCGGGCCCGCCUUAACUGGCCGCCGGGGGGCUCACGCCCCCGGGCCCGCGCCCGCCGAAGACACCCUCGAACUCUGUCUGAAGAUUGAAGUCUGAGUGAAAAUAUAAAUUAUUUAAAACUUUCAACAACGGAUCUCUUGGUUCCGGCAUCGAUGAAGAACGCAGCGAAAUGCGAUACGUAAUGUGAAUUGCAAAUUCAGUGAAUCAUCGAGUCUUUGAACGCACAUUGCGCCCCCUGGUAUUCCGGGGGGCAUGCCUGUCCGAGCGUCAUUGCUGCCCUCAAGCCCGGCUUGUGUGUUGGGCCCCGUCCUCCGAUUUCCGGGGGACGGGCCCGAAAGGCAGCGGCGGCACCGCGUCCGGUCCUCGAGCGUAUGGGGCUUUGUCACCCGCUCUGUAGGCCCGGCCGGCGCUUGCCGAUCAACCCAAAUUUUUAUCCAGGUUGACCUCGGAUCAGGUAGGGAUACCCGCUGAACUUAAGCAUAUCAAUAAGCGGAGGAA